GGGGGGUGCAAGCGUUGUUCGGAAUUAUUGGGCGUAAAGCGCGUGUAGGCGGUCUGAUUAGUCUGAUGUGAAAGCCCUGGGCUCAACCCAGGAAGUGCAUUGGAUACUGUCAGACUUGAAUACGGGAGAGGGUAGUGGAAUUCCUAGUGUAGGAGUGAAAUCCGUAGAUAUUAGGAGGAACACCGGUGGCGAAGGCGGCUACCUGGACCGAUAUUGACGCUGAGACGCGAAAGCGUGGGUAGCAAACAGGAUUAGAUACCCUGGUAGUCCACGCCGUAAACGAUGAGUACUAGGUGUUGCGGGUAUUGACCCCUGCAGUGCCGCAGCUAACGCAUUAAGUGCCCCGCCUGGGGAGUACGGCCGCAAGGCU
Molecule: ribosomal RNA, 370 nt
Filed under: uncultured bacterium
Lineage: Bacteria
Description: bacterial SSU rRNA
Rfam family: Bacterial small subunit ribosomal RNA
Source: RNAcentral